Molecule: non-coding RNA, 167 nt
Filed under: Fictibacillus enclensis
Lineage: Bacteria; Bacillati; Bacillota; Bacilli; Caryophanales; Fictibacillaceae
Description: GlcN6P sequence
Rfam family: glmS glucosamine-6-phosphate activated ribozyme aptamer
About the family: This entry contains a glucosamine-6-phosphate activated ribozyme that is found in the mRNA for GlmS. GlmS is an enzyme that uses fructose-6-phosphate and glutamine to generate glucosamine-6-phosphate. The ribozyme catalyses self cleavage of the glmS mRNA that is thought to regulate GlmS activity.
Source: Rfam by way of RNAcentral
GUUAAAUAAAAAGCGCCUGAACUAUUUUCGGACGAAAAGAAAAUAGUUGACGAGGAAGAGGUUCAUCGAUCAUUCGGCGGAUGCCUCUCGGAAUCAGUCACUUUCGUUAGCUUUUAUCUAAAACAGGCAAGGCGACUUCCUGUACAAAAAUAAAAGCAGUGGCUAAU